Molecule: ribosomal RNA, 254 nt
Filed under: uncultured bacterium
Lineage: Bacteria
Description: partial 16S ribosomal RNA
Rfam family: Bacterial small subunit ribosomal RNA
Source: RNAcentral
UACGUAGGGUGCGAGCGUUGUCCGGAAUUAUUGGGCGUACAGGGCGCGUAGGUGGCGCGACAAGUCAGUGGUGAAAGUUCGACGCUCAACGUCGAAUCGGCCACUGAUACUGUUGGGCUUGAGCACUGUAGAGGCUAAUGGAAUUCCGGGUGUAGCGGUGGAAUGCGUAGAGAUCCGGAAGAACACCGGUGGCGAAGGCGGUUAGCUGGGCAGUUGCUGACACUGAGGCGCGACAGCGUGGGGAGCAAACAGGG